RNAcentral lists this ribosomal RNA (837 nucleotides) under uncultured Gammaproteobacteria bacterium. RNAcentral's name for it is "bacterial SSU rRNA". It matches the Rfam family "Bacterial small subunit ribosomal RNA", at positions 44 to 877 of the family's 1533-position model. The record is from RNAcentral. Lineage: Bacteria; Pseudomonadati; Pseudomonadota; Gammaproteobacteria.
AGGCUUAACACAUGCAAGUCGUGCGAGAAAGUAUCUUCGGAUAUUAGUAGAGCGGCGGACGGGUGAGUAACGCGUAGGAAUCUACCUAGUAGAAGGGGAUAGCCCGGGGAAACUCGGAUUAAUACCGUAUACCUCCUUAGGGAGAAAGAGGGCCUCUCUUGAAGCUCUCGCUAUUAGAUGAGCCUGCGUAAGAUUAGCUUGUUGGUAAGGUAAUGGCUUACCAAGGCUACGAUCUUUAGCUGGUCUGAGAGGACGAUCAGCCACAUUGGGACUGAGACACGGCCCAGACUCCUACGGGAGGCAGCAGUGGGGAAUAUUGGACAAUGGGCGCAAGCCUGAUCCAGCCAUACCGCGUGUGUGAAGAAGGCUCUAGGGUUGUAAAGCACUUUAAGCAGGGAGAAAAAGUUAUAAAUUAAUACUUUAUAACCGUGAUGUUACCUGCAGAAUAAGCACCGGCUAAUUCCGUGCCAGCAGCCGCGGUAAUACGGAAGGUGCAAGCGUUAAUCGGAAUUACUGGGCGUAAAGCGCGCGUAGGUGGUUUGUUAAGUUGGAUGUGAAAGCCCUGGGCUCAACCUAGGAACUGCAUCCAAAACUAACUCACUAGAGUACGAUAGAGGGAGGUAGAAUUCAUAGUGUAGCGGUGGAAUGCGUAGAUAUUAUGAAGAAUACCAGUGGCGAAGGCGGCCUCCUGGAUCUGUACUGACACUAAGGUGCGAAAGCGUGGGUAGCGAACAGGAUUAGAUACCCUGGUAGUCCACGCCGUAAACGAUGACAACUAGCUGUUGGGAGACAAUGUCUUUCAGUGGCGCAGCUAACGUUUUAAGUUGUCCGCCUGGG